RNAcentral lists this small nucleolar RNA (130 nucleotides) under Catagonus wagneri (Chacoan peccary). RNAcentral describes it as "Small nucleolar RNA SNORA11 (ENSCWAG00000017928.1)". It matches the Rfam family "Small nucleolar RNA SNORA11". From Rfam's summary of the family: U107 (SNORA11) is a member of the H/ACA class of snoRNAs that guide the sites of modification of uridines to pseudouridines. This snoRNA was identified by RT-PCR from blood cells and its expression confirmed by Northern blot analysis. The record is from Rfam by way of RNAcentral. Lineage: Eukaryota; Metazoa; Chordata; Mammalia; Artiodactyla; Tayassuidae.
GGGAUGUGUUCAGAGCAGGGGGCCUGAAGAAAUGACUUUUCUGUUUACAGCACACCCAGGGGGAAUCUGGGUUCACUGUGACAAGGGGCACAAAACUUGCGGACUUCCUGUGAACAAAUACCCAGCAGGU